This 497-nucleotide ribosomal RNA is filed under the name uncultured bacterium. RNAcentral's name for it is "partial 16S ribosomal RNA". It matches the Rfam family "Bacterial small subunit ribosomal RNA", at positions 28 to 507 of the family's 1533-position model. The record is from RNAcentral.
GAUGAACGCUGGCGGCGUGCCUAAUACAUGCAAGUCGAGCGAACGGACGAGAAGCUUGCUUCUCUGAUGUUAGCGGCGGACGGGUGAGUAACACGUGGAUAACCUACCUAUAAGACUGGGAUAACUUCGGGAAACCGGAGCUAAUACCGGAGAAUAUUAUGAACCGCAUGGUUCAAAAGUGAAAGACGGUCUUGCUGUCACUUAUAGAUGGAUCCGCGCUGCAUUAGCUAGUUGGUAAGGUAACGGCUUACCAAGGCAACGAUGCAUAGCCGACCUGAGAGGCUGAUCGGCCACCCUGGAACUGAGCCACGGUCCAGACUCCUACGGGAGGCAGCAGUAGGGAAUCUUCCGCAAUGGGCGAAAGCCUGACGGAGCAACGCCGCGUGAGUGAUGAAGGUCUUCGGAUCGUAAAACUCUGUUAUUAGGGAAGAACAUAUGUGUAAGUAACUGUGCACAUCUUGACGGUACCUAAUCAGAAAGCCACGGCUAACUACGUG